Molecule: long non-coding RNA, 7148 nt
Organism: Brassica rapa (field mustard)
Lineage: Eukaryota; Viridiplantae; Streptophyta; Magnoliopsida; Brassicales; Brassicaceae
Source: RefSeq, a predicted model, not a curated record
UUAAUUAGUAUGUUAUAAAAUAUAUAAAUUAAUAAUAUAAACCGGAUAAGUUUAAAUGCAUAUUAAAUUUGAAAUAAAUACUCAAAACAUAAAAUAAAUAUAUUAUUGUGUUAUGUGCUUUUCAUAAUUAAAUACUUUGUAAUUUUUAAUAUAAUAUUUUAUAUAAAAUAAAAAGAUAAAAUAUAUACUAUUGUUAAACCAAAAAUAUAAAUGUAAAUAGAUUUUAUAAACAUACAAUUACAAAAAAACAUAAUAUAUAAAUGUGAUAAAUAAUUAAUUUCAAUUAAAAAUAAUAAAAUUAGAAAAUUUAUUAAAACCGAAAACAUAAAAUAAUAUAUAAUAUUAUUUUGGUGUAACAUUUGGUGUUAUGGUUGGAGAUGACAAAUAAAUAUAACAUCAAAAUAUUAAAUUUGGUGUAAAUUUAACAUCAAAUUUGGUAUUAUGGUUGGGUAUGCUCUGUUAUUUUCUUAUAUAUUUGACUAGUUUUUCAUAUGUUGUAUCAAUCUUUAAAUAUAAAUUUUGGGAACAGCAUAAAGAACUAAAUCAAAUCAAUGAUGAACACCUUCUGGCUUCACGUGACAUGCGGUGUUAAAAAAGAUCUUCUGUUCAUAGAAGCUCUCCUAGAUCUUUCCAGUUUUUACACUAUACUAUUGUUUGUUGAAGUCAUGGAUUAAAUCUAGAAGACAUCACUGCUAAUUUGAUAUAUGUACAUGGUUUUUACGUGCUUCCAAGGCAGACCCAUGGAGAAAAUAUCCAAAUAUAUAAGAAAUGAUUUGUAAAAUGUUAGUAUUAUUAGUAGAGUAACAUGGAAUAAUUGAGAGAAAAGAAAAAGAAAAGUUAGAGGAAAAGAGAGAAAAUAUAUAAAUAAUUAUUUUGAUAAAUUUUUAUGUUAUUCUCGAUUUUUCUUGAACGCAGUUUCUUACUUCAGAUUUGUUUCUCUAGUAACGGAGCUAUACAGUCAGCUACAUAUAAAAAUUUGCAGAAAAAACAAUAACAUAUGCUGAUAACAAUUCAAAACUGACACGAUUUCAUACAAUUUCUCUUAUACAAGUCACGUUUUUUGGGUAUGGCAUACAAGUCAAGUUCGGGCUUCCUAAGGUGCUUGAGUCGUCUAGUCGUCUUUUAUAACCUAUAUGUCUUAAACUUUAAUCUAUUGGUAGUCUAUAACAAAUAGAAACGCAUUGACAAGAAAAGGAAACUGUAUUUACCUCAAGUAAAUUAAAUUACGUUCUCAGAGAAAAAAGAAACAUAAAACCAUGAAGAACAUAUAUACAGUCAACAAGGUUACAGCGGGGAGGAUUGAUCAUUUCUGAAAAUUACUGAUAAGAACCUAACAAAGCAUAUACUGUGUAUAUUACAUUUCGAAUGUUGCUCCUCUUUCUGUAUAAAGAGUCACUACUCGCAAUUAUAGUUUGCCAACUAUCUCUCUGCAUUUUUUUUACCCUUGUUGCCUUUUUAGUAACCUAUGCAUAGUUUAAUUAGAGAAAAUAGACUAAAAUACAUUUAUUUUACUGCGAAAAUUUCUAACCACAGAUAUUAACGGCGAAAUACGAGAUCAGUUUAGGCAAUCAUUCGGGUGGGGUGAAAAGCAUCUGUCCAUGCAUCGAGCUCUGCGUUAAACGAAUGAUGUAAGUUAUAAAGAUGCUAUAUUAUUUAUCUUCUAAACCCUACACAGUACACACUCACAUAUAUUCAAUAUAUAGAUAUAACAAAUUAAUCUCUAUAACGAUAUACUAAUGUUUAGAAAAAUAAAUCCGGCUCUAGACAUGAAUUCAACACACGUCAUGGAUAUGUGUCAUGCACACAACGUGUAAUUAUAUGUUUUAAAUAAUAAGUUUUUGUCGUUUAAAAUAUUUUUUGAUAUUAAUUAGUAAGCUAUAAUAUGAAAGUAGUUCUCAAAUAAAAGAAAACUAUAAAGAAAGUAACUGGUCUGAGAAACCAAGUAGAAAGAGGAGUAUGUAAGAAAAAAAACGAAUAAAGAGAAUGUCCCGAACUUGGAGUGCAAAAUAAAAAAAAGUCUUUCUAAAAGCGAAACAAAAGUGUUGACCUUUUUUGCAGUCGAGUUCACACCCCAUUUUCAUGCCUAUAAUCUGAAAACAUAAUAACGUUUUCACUUUUCAUCGACCAUUCUGUAAAAUAACAUUUGACAUUAUUAGAGCAUUUUCGUUCCAACUCUAUAUUUUACUUCAAAAUAAAAUGAAAAAUUAAGUAAUGAAUAAACGUUUUUUUAUCCUUUGUUCGUUACUUUAUUUUUCAUUUCAUUUUAAAGUAAAAUAUGGAAUGGAUUGAAAAUGUUUUUAUACAUACUACAAAAUGCUGAAUUUUUGACAUUAUUCUAAGAAAAAUAUCUUAAUAAAUUCCAAUAUUUAUGUGUGUAAAUUUGUAGCAUGUCAAUGUUCUGGACAGUAAAAUGUUAAGACAAAUUUUAUAUAUUUUUGAUCAAAAAAAAAUAUAUAUAUAUAUAUAAGAAUUGGCUUUACAUUUUAAUUUCCAAAACAAUAAAAUGUUAAGCCAAUUCUUAUAUAAUUUCAAUUAUACUAUUGAUAUUUUCACUAUUCGAUAAAAUCCGAUAUUUUUUAUCGUCAAAUAAUAAUAAUUCAAAUAUAGAAGAAAGAUGUAGAUGGAAAAUCACAGUAAAUUUGUUCUUUUUACCAAUAAAUACAAAUCUACUUUGUUAUCAUGUCUUUUUAAUAUUAAAUUCAACUUGCUUCUAAUGAUUUUUUUUUCAAAAACUGAAAAAAAAUCAAAAUAUAGACCAAAAAAGCAAUUAUCUAUUAACAGAAUAAAAACAACAUUUUAGAAUCAGACUGAUUUUUGUGAAUAUAUACUGUUUUAAAUAUUUAGUGAUUUUAAUAUUCGGAAUUUUUCCAAAAGUGUUUUAAAACAAAAUUUCCAUCCAAAAUCAACAUAUAGAGUUUAUUAACAGUGAUUAAACAUGAACAUAUAGCAAAAGAAGCAAGAACGAGAGGCUAUGCUUUUUCCCAUAUAGAUCAGACCCGGACAGAUGGAGAUGCUCUUCGGAGAAUCGGCACGUCUGUUCUCCACUUGAUCUAGUUUUAGAUGGGUAGACGACAAAAAAAAAAAAAAAAAAAAAAGACUUGCCUUAUUCGAGAAAUGAAUAAGUUGAACUGAUUCAAUAUGAAAAUUACUGAGUUAUGAUAUAAUGUAUGAUAGUUCGGUUGAUUUACAAAUGGAAAUUGAAAAAAUGUGAAAAUUUAAUUGAGAGAAAAUUGAAGGGGAGAGGUAGAUUUUGAGGCAAUAAAUAGUGGAUGGAAUUAUGAGUUGUUGCAGUUAAUACACGCAAGGCAUGCAUUUGUUUUCUCAUCCACACUAAUAAUAAGUUCAUUUUGUAUCGGAGUUGUUCCAUUUGUAAAGUAAAUUCUACCAGUGGGUAGAAUAUAAAAACAAAAAAAAAAUUGAAAACAAGUUGUCAUAAAGGAAUAAAUGAGGCUUUGCAGGUUGUGGGAGUGAUGAGUGCGACAUCUCAAUCGACAGAAGGGAAAUAAGAGUAUGAUUUAUCAUGGUUAAAUAGUCAGAAAGUAAAUAUGAUGUACUUAUAUUACAAAAUUAUGUCAUUUAGUUGUAUUUUUCGUAAUUUAAAGUAACAAAACAAAAUGUUUCAAAAAAAUAGUAACAAAAACAAAAAAGAGAUGAACCUUAUUAUUUAAAUACAUCGUGGAACUUUAAGCGUAUCAUGGUUACUUACUAGGUCAAAAGGUUGAGCUUCUAUGUUAUUCUAGCAUUAAUGUUAUAUUUACAUGAGCCUAGGAUUCUGCAAUCCACUCCAUGGUGGAGUAGUAAAAGGACCCAUCAGUUGAACAUUGCCUCGCACGAACAUAAGUCAGAAAAUUGUUAAUUUUACAUAUUCUCAAAAAUAUAAUACAGUGCACUUCCAAUAAUCCAGUACAAAUAUUUAUAUUUUGUAUAUUUUUGUGAAUAUUCUUUUUGUAUUUCUCGAUUUCUAAAUUUUUCUAUAUAUAAAUAUUACAAAGAAAGCAAUCUGAAUAUAUUUAAAAAUGUUUCGAAAAUCACAAGCAAACAAGCUCUCAUUAUUUAUCUCUCUCUAUUAAUUUCUACUAGCGUCCAAUUAUUUUGGUAUGUGUCGUAAUAUGGCCAAGACAUGAAAAAGUUCGGAGCUGGGAAGAAAAAUGCCAAGCUUGUACGUCCGACCAUUUACGAAUUAAACGAUUUAUACCGUCGGACGUGUGAUCAAAAUAUAUCACUUGUUAACUUGCUACGGAUGCUACUACUAUUAAUUAUGUUAGUUAUUAAACGUGGAUUCUCAUUGACAAAUCAGUGUUUUGUAACAAAAUAGCAUACGUACAGAGUUUUACAAUGUCACGACUUUAAAUUUGAUUGUAACAUUUGAGCAUUUUAAUGAAAAUAAAAAACAGCUAACAACAUUUUUUGCAAAAGUCAUGGACUGAAACCUAUAAUUUAUUUAGUCCAUAGAUAUGAAAUAGUUGUCAAACAAAAUUUUGCAGCUGCUGAGACGUGAACUUAGACUUCUAUCUCUAUAGCAUAAAGGUAUAAAACUUUACCAAUAGAGAUAGCAGCUCCAGGUUAAACUACCCUUUUUAUGCUUGAUUUUGUUAUUUAUCAUGCGUAAUUUUGUUUAAAUUCUUGAUUUUGGUAUUUUAAUGUGAAAUUUAUUCUUUAACACAACUUAUAUCCCAUUAAUAACUAGAGUAUAGCUGGUAAUUAAUUGAACAUCAAAAUGGUUUUCAGAUUGUAUAAUAAAAUAUAUAUCGAGCUAUAUCAAGCUCCAUAUUAAAUUAAGAAAACAAUGGUGCCGUUUAACUUGUGGUCCUGACAAAAAGUAUAGAAAAAUAAAAACGGAAUGGUAGGCAGUAGGCAUCAAAGACAACCCCGUUGAAUUUGCUAAAAAGAAACAAUCAGAAGAAAGUAAAAGAGAAAAACCUCAAACAAAAUCCCUAGAAGUUUAUCGGUUUUCUCGCUUAGAAUUUCAUCUUUCGAAAACUAUCAAAGUGAUUUCGCUAAUUAGAUUUUAAUCGUCCUUGAUAAAACCCCCUUGAGUUUCUUCUAUUUUCAUAAUAUAUUCGUCAUUUAUCCCAUCUUUCUCCUUCACUGUUUUUCUGUUCAUAAUAGUUGUUAGAUCUUAUGUCUUUUCGAAUCCGAAUCUUUAAGUUUCUCAUUUGAUUAAACCCAACAAGUUUCCAGUUUUCGAGACGAGUGUUAUUAAUCUUCUCCGUAGCUUUGUGACAACAGAAUCUAGGGUUUCGGUCUUUUUCUUAUAAAAAAUAUUUCUUUCUUACUAGUAUUUUUUUGGGUUUAAAUGUUGAAUUUUUGGUUCAUAAAUUUCUUGAUAUACAACAACAACUGUACAUCACCAUCAUUAAGAGAAACCCGUCUGCCUCUUUUCAUAACCUCAUAAAUAUUCCAACCAUUCCAUGUCUCGCUUCUCUCAUCUGUUGUUCUCUAAAGGAACGAGUGAAAAGAGUUUGGAUCUUUAAGCUUUUUGAUCAUGUGGGUUUGACAAAAGAGUUUCUUACAGAGAUCUUUGGCAUUCUGUCCACCUCCCCUACCUAUGUAUAUGUGUAUUAUCUACGUUGUGUUUUGUGAGGGGGAGGUGGGCAUACUGCCAACAGAGAUCUGUUAGGGUUUCUUUGUAAAACCCCUCAUGAUUUGUUGUAUUCAAGAUAAGGCAUUGGCUCGUGUUGAUCAAGAUGACUUGAUGAACACUAAGAUCUAGGUUUGAGGAAAAAUGGUAUUAUCUCGGAUAUACUCAACCUUAAUUAUUAUGUAUGAUCACUACAUCUUAGUAUUUUAUUAAGUCAAUUUCACUUGUCAAUUCCAAUCUCCUUUGAUUUGGUUGAUCUCGACGAAGUUCUUAGCUUUCAUUGGCUGAGACUCUAAUCUGUUGGUGGGUUUAUAAGACUGGAUACGUUCAUCACAUUUGCUUGUAAAUAAACUCGCAUCUUUUUAAUUUCAAUGGCGUUGACCAGUGUGAGGUUAGUUUGGGAGUAGUGGUGGCGUCUGAGAAGUUUACAUCAUCUAGGAAAGGUAAGCUAUUCAUGAAAAAUGAGGACCCAUUACUCAAAAAGGUACAUGUAGAUUGAAAUCAUAGGGGAAUGUGGUAAUGGAAAAGGAGAAUUUACUCUACCUUUUUAUGUUUUUGAAGCCCACACAAUGUUAUCAUGAUGUCUUGUUUUCUUGAAGUUGGAAUCUAUGUUCAUAGAAAGUGGUUACUUGUGUCUGUGUAAAAUGGCAUGUUUUAUGUGACGAUAGUGUUCAACCUGAUAAAUGGACGGAGAAAUCCCAUGUUCAAUCUUAAAAUAGCUAUUUUUAUAUUCUUACACUCUUGAAUAUUGUAGUCUUAUUUUUAUGUUUAAGUUAUUAUUACCACAAAAUGGAUUUACCAUUAUACUUUAUUCAUAUUUUCUCCACUACAUUUCUAAAUAUGAAACGAAGAAUGAGACCGGGUUGUAGACAAACUUCAUACUAAAUUUGUCUUCUUUAUGUUGAUUUUUCAUUUAUUUGGUUUUAGAUGGUUCAAAACUGUGGUGUAGAUUUUCUUGCGUUAUUAGAUUAACCAAGAAGCUAGCUGCUGUUUUAUGGCGGAUAGGUGAAACAAUAAAAUUGCCAGUGUUACAUACAUGCAUUGCAUUUGAUUUUAGUCUAUAUUUUUUAAUUAAGAAAAAUAACAGUUGGAUACAAUCGUGUGGUGAUAUGAUCUUCCGUGACUGUGUAGAUAUGUAUAGUGCACAACGUCUUUGAUGUGUGCCUACGGUUCUACGGAUAGGGUAUAGAUUUAUACAUUUAUAUGAAUAAUGGAAAAAUAUUAUCCUCAUCAUUGGGGUUGUGUCAGUUCCAUUUAAAUUUUCCUUUCAAGGCAAUCGCUAACUUUAUAAUCUUUCUCUUCGCUUUGUCUAUCUCCAUUUCACCUUUGCAUUUUACGUGAUUUGCACGAAUAGGGCAGACGUCCUAACUCGGUAAGUUUUAUCAUUAUUCUACUUGAUUCCUUAGUAAUUAGGCCUAUUGGGUUUUGACCCGUUAUCAAAACCCAAUUCAAAAUUUUGAGAAGUUUUUGAACCACAACUGACUUAUGAGGGUCAAGUGGUCAAAGCCAAUUCACCAGAGAUUUCCCGUCUCUAUAAUUAUACACUGCCAAAUGAUACUCUUACUGA